Molecule: ribosomal RNA, 497 nt
Filed under: uncultured bacterium
Lineage: Bacteria
Description: partial 16S ribosomal RNA
Rfam family: Bacterial small subunit ribosomal RNA
Source: RNAcentral
GAUGAACGCUGGCGGCGUGCCUAAUACAUGCAAGUCGAGCGAACAGACGAGGAGCUUGCUCCUCUGACGUUAGCGGCGGACGGGUGAGUAACACGUGGAUAACCUACCUAUAAGACUGGGAUAACUUCGGGAAACCGGAGCUAAUACCGGAUAAUAUAUUGAACCGCAUGGUUCAAUAGUGAAAGACGGUUUUGCUGUCACUUAUAGAUGGAUCCGCGCCGCAUUAGCUAGUUGGUAAGGUAACGGCUUACCAAGGCAACGAUGCGUAGCCGACCUGAGAGGGUGAUCGGCCACACUGUAACUGAGACACGGUCCAGACUCCUACGGGAGGCAGCAGUAGGGAAUCUUCCGCAAUGGGCGAAAGCCUGACGGAGCAACGCCGCGUGAGUGAUGAAGGUCUUCGGAUCGUAAAACUCUGUUAUUGGGGAAGAACAAAUGUGUAAGUAACUAUGCACGUCUUGACGGUACCUAAUCAGAAAGCCACGGCUAACUACGUG